RNAcentral lists this unclassified non-coding RNA (249 nucleotides) under soil metagenome. RNAcentral's name for it is "partial contains small subunit ribosomal RNA, internal transcribed spacer 1, and 5.8S ribosomal RNA". The record is from RNAcentral.
UCUCCGUAGGUGAACCUGCGGAGGGAUCAUUACACAAAAAAUAUGAAGGCUGUAUGCGCUGGCGCCCUCCGGGCACCAGUGGCGGAGGCUGAAUUAUUUUUCCACCCAUGUCUUUUGCGUACUUGUUGUUUCCUGGGCGGGUUCGCCCGCCACCAGGACCACACCACAAACUUUUUUAAAUUGUAAUCAGCGUCAGUAUAACAAAUGUUAAAUCAUUUACAACUUUCAACAACGGAUCUCUUGGUUCUG